CCAGACUCCUACGGGAGGCAGCAGUGGGGAAUAUUGCACAAUGGGGGAAACCCUGAUGCAGCAACGCCGCGUGAGUGAAGAAGUAUUUCGGUAUGUAAAGCUCUAUCAGCAGGGAAGAAGAUGACGGUACCUGAGUAAGAAGCCCCGGCUAACUACGUGCCAGCAGCCGCGGUAAUACGUAGGGGGCAAGCGUUAUCCGGAUUUACUGGGUGUAAAGGGAGCGUAGACGGUGAGACAAGUCUGAAGUGAAAGCCCGGGGCUCAACCCCGGGACUGCUUUGGAAACUGCCUGACUGGAGUGCUGGAGAGGCAAGCGGAAUUCCUAGUGUAGCGGUGAAAUGCGUAGAUAUUAGGAGGAACACCAGUGGCGAAGGCGGUCUGCUGGACAGCAACUGACAGUGAGGCGCGAAAGCGUGGGGAGCAAACAGGAUUAGAUACCCCUGUA
RNAcentral lists this ribosomal RNA (444 nucleotides) under uncultured bacterium. Its description in RNAcentral is "bacterial SSU rRNA". It matches the Rfam family "Bacterial small subunit ribosomal RNA", at positions 331 to 792 of the family's 1533-position model. The record is from RNAcentral.